This 534-nucleotide long non-coding RNA is filed under the name Homo sapiens (human). RNAcentral describes it as "long intergenic non-protein coding RNA 1088". Lineage: Eukaryota; Metazoa; Chordata; Mammalia; Primates; Hominidae. The record is from RNAcentral.
GCUGCCUUGCACUUAGGGAAGGUUCACAUGCCUCAAGGAUCUCUCUCUCUCAGAUUUCUUGACUUUCCCUCAGUCUUCAGUAUAGUCCUCCUCUGUGCCUGGUGAAGACCUGUGGUAAAGUGCUGGCAGAGCUGCCGGCUUCCCCUUGAAGGAAUAGGAGUAGACCUGCUGAACUAUCACAUGAGAGAAGAGGCCCAAAAGCUUGCACACUACAGUCAAGCUGGCCCUUAAAGAGAUGGACCUAGAAGAUGCUGAGCCAGAUGUACUCAAUUACUUCUCCAAAAUUCAUCAAUUAGGAAUACAACAUGUUUAAGACCACAGAACAUCUGCAUAGGCUGUAAAUUUCGUUGAAUGAUGGAUGCAAAGAUGGAAGACAGAUGGAUAGAGGAAAAGACAGAAUCAGAUACUGGAUGAGUUAGUACUGCUGCCUGUGCUUCAGAGCUGUCUUAUUACCACAAGGCCGGCAAGCAUCAAUGUCCCCACAUCCCCCUCUGCCUCCCCCUGAAAUGUACCGAUUUAUAUGAAAAUUAAGAU